Non-coding RNA from Triticum aestivum (bread wheat), 135 nucleotides. The record is from Rfam. NCBI's taxonomy places the organism in Eukaryota, Viridiplantae, Streptophyta, Magnoliopsida, Poales, Poaceae.
CUAGUACUCCCUUCGUCCGGAAAUACUUGCCAUCAAAAUAAAUAAUAGGGGAUGUAUCUAGAUGUAUUUUAGUUUUACAUACAUCCCUUUUUGUUCAUUUUGAUGACAAGUAUUUUCGGACGGAGGGAGUACGUG